RNAcentral lists this ribosomal RNA (372 nucleotides) under uncultured bacterium. Its description in RNAcentral is "bacterial SSU rRNA". It matches the Rfam family "Bacterial small subunit ribosomal RNA", at positions 525 to 896 of the family's 1533-position model. The record is from RNAcentral.
ACGAAGGGGGCUAGCGUUGCUCGGAAUGACUGGGCGUAAAGGGCGCGUAGGCGGCAUGCACAGUCAGAUGUGAAAUUCCUGGGCUCAACCUGGGGACUGCAUUUGAUACGUGUGAGCUAGAGUGGAGAAGAGGGUCGUGGAAUUUCCAGUGUAGAGGUGAAAUUCGUAGAUAUUGGAAAGAACACCGGUGGCGAAGGCGGCGACCUGGUCUUUAACUGACGCUGAGGCGCGAAAGCGUGGGGAGCAAACAGGAUUAGAUACCCUGGUAGUCCACGCUGUAAACGAUGUGUGCUGGAUGUUGGGGAACUUAGUUUCUCAGUGUCGUAGCUAACGCGAUAAGCACACCGCCUGGGGAGUACGGCCGCAAGGUUG